GACAGAAUGCCAGGCCUGGCCGUAGACACUGAUUAGCCGUGUGACCUUUGGGGAUUCGGGGCAAGCCAUUUUCCGGUCUUGGGCCUCAGUUUCCCCCUCUGUCAAAUGAGAAGCUUGGACUCGAUGGCCUCUGAGAUCUUUGCUGGCUCUUGAAUGGAUGCUCGUGUCUUCGCCUUUCUCUGGGCAUCGGUUUCCUCACUCGUGUAGGAUGGAUGAGAGGUUUGGACUUCACGGCCUUGAAUGUCCCUGCCAUUUUGAACUCGGAGAACUCGUCCCUUUAAACAAUAAGGGCAGUUAAACAAAACAUAUCCGAGGAGAGUAGACCUCGAGUCACAAGAGCCCUUGGUGGCAAGGAAGUCCAGGCUCCUUGUCUUACAGAGGAGGAAGCCGAGGCCCACAGAGGGGACUUGCCCAAAGCCACACACAUAGAAGUCCUGCCUCAAGAGCUGAAAUAGGCCUCCGACGCCAUCAUUUUGGGGAAUUGGAACUCAGCGUUAGAGUUCCUCAGCAGCCCAUUUGCCAGAUGAGAAACUGAGUUUAGGAUAUGACUGUCUAGUACUUGGCCACCACGUAAUCUUCAUAUCUAGACCAGCAUCGGUCUAUCUUCCAUAUGAGAAACUGAGUUUAGGACAUGGCUGUCUAGUACUCGGCCCCCAUGUAAUCAAUCUAGACUACCAUCAGCCCAUUUUGCACUUGAGAAAAACUGAGGUGAGUAUCUUCUAUAUAGUGCAAAAUAGAGCCACGAUCAUUGAAACAACUUUGGGGAUGUUUCCAUUGUAUUUCCCAUGUGGCCUGAACAUUGCUGUCUAGAACUCAGCCCCCAUGUAAUCUUUCUGAGCUAGACCACCAUCAGCCCA
RNAcentral lists this long non-coding RNA (857 nucleotides) under Monodelphis domestica (gray short-tailed opossum). RNAcentral describes it as "lncRNA (ENSMODG00000035868.2)". The record is from RNAcentral. Lineage: Eukaryota; Metazoa; Chordata; Mammalia; Didelphimorphia; Didelphidae.